RNAcentral lists this ribosomal RNA (484 nucleotides) under uncultured bacterium. RNAcentral's name for it is "bacterial SSU rRNA". It matches the Rfam family "Bacterial small subunit ribosomal RNA", at positions 30 to 514 of the family's 1533-position model. The record is from RNAcentral.
AUUGAACGCUGGCGGAAUGCUUUACACAUGCAAGUCGAACGGUAGAGGGGGCAACCCCUUGAGAGUGGCGAACGGGUGAGUAAUAUAUCGGAACGUGCCCAGUCGUGGGGAUAACGUAGCGAAAGUUACGCUAAUACCGCAUACGAUCUAAGGAUGAAAGCGGGGGAUCGCAAGACCUCGCGCGAUUGGAGCGGCCGAUAUCAGAUUAGGUAGUUGGUGGGGGUAAAGGCUCACCAAGCCAACGAUCUGUAGCUGGUCUGAGAGGACGACCAGCCACACUGGAACUGAGACACGGUCCAGACUCCUACGGGAGGCAGCAGUGGGGAAUUUUGGACAAUGGACGCAAGUCUGAUCCAGCCAUUCCGCGUGCAGGAUGAAGGCCCUCGGGUUGUAAACCGCUUUGUACGGACGAAAAGGUUCUCUUAAUACGAGGAGCUCAUGACGGUACCGUAAGAAUAAGCACCGGCUAACUACGUGCCAGCAG